This 217-nucleotide non-coding RNA is filed under the name Granulicatella adiacens. RNAcentral's name for it is "T-box sequence". It matches the Rfam family "T-box leader". Rfam says of the family: Uncharged tRNA acts as the effector for transcription antitermination of genes in the T-box leader family. T-boxes are found upstream of many aminoacyl-tRNA synthetase genes and some amino acid biosynthetic genes usually in Gram-positive bacteria. The anticodon of a specific tRNA base pairs to a specifier sequence within the T-box motif, and the NCCA acceptor tail of the tRNA base pairs to a conserved bulge in the T-box antiterminator hairpin. Lineage: Bacteria; Bacillati; Bacillota; Bacilli; Lactobacillales; Carnobacteriaceae. The record is from RNAcentral.
UUAAAUUCAUUGACAAAGAGAGUACAGAAUUUUGGCGUCGAAAGCGAGAUGAGGUAGAGUGGAAGCUCAUCGGAUUAGAAAUUUUGGAAGCGCACUUUGUAGAAAAGAUGGAGAAAUUAGUAUCUAUCUUCGCAGGACAUGCGUUAUCAAGCAAAAGGAUCGGGAAGCAAUUCCCCGUCAAAUUUAGAGUGGUACCACGACAGACAUCGUCUCUUAU